UCCUUGUCCAGAGGCAUGGACACAAUUCGAUCCUUGAAUCUGCUAGUAAAGAGAUCCAUCUUGGAAACAAGAUCUUUUCUGCUGUAAAUUCCCUGCAGUCCCAGAAGACACUUUAGCCGCACUUCAGCUUGCUUAUCAUACAGCAUCCAUCCAAUGUAUUUUAAGUAGCUAUCAUUUAAAAAAACAUCUGGGUAUGUUUUAAUCCAGUUGCCAAUUUCUUCAAUGCAAGUAGCUCGU
This 237-nucleotide long non-coding RNA is filed under the name Gallus gallus (chicken). Lineage: Eukaryota; Metazoa; Chordata; Aves; Galliformes; Phasianidae. The record is from RNAcentral.